Eubalaena glacialis (North Atlantic right whale) is the source of this 1636-nucleotide long non-coding RNA. RefSeq lists it as uncharacterized. The transcript is spliced from 2 exons. The record is from RefSeq and is a predicted model, not a curated record. NCBI's taxonomy places the organism in Eukaryota, Metazoa, Chordata, Mammalia, Artiodactyla, Balaenidae.
UGCCAAUGCGGAUCCAAGGCCCUCAGGUUGUCAUCUUUUUUCCCUCUUUGUUGGAGGUCUGUGCAGCGAGUGGUGUGCGUGUGUCUGGAGUGGAGAUGGCCGGUGGGUCUGAGGAGCAGCGCAGGCGGCAGACAGGGCUCUGAGCUUUCCGCCUGGCUGCCGGGCACUGUGUUCACAGGGCUCCACACAGGAGAUCGGACAGGAGCCGGUCCAUGGCGCCCCCUGCUCCGUCUCCCUGCAGGAGGGGCAGGAGCCCCACACCAGCACCAGAGCCCAGGGCAGGCUCAGGGGGGAAAACGUGUCCACAGGGGACAGGAAUGAGACCUGUGUGGUGUGGAGCGUCCAGGCGGGCAGGCUGGAGAAGCUGGUGGGAAAACUGGUGCCUGCUUUCCUGGGCGGGGACCCCUCCGACCUCCCCACAUUCCUGGGCUCCUACAGGGCUUUCCCUACCUCCCAGCAGAUGCUGGACCUUCCCUUCACAAGGUGAGCACUCUGCCCCUUAUGGGACAUUGGUGACUCGGCCACCUACUAGCUGUGACAUGGGGGAAUGUCACUCCACCUCUCUGAGCCUCAGUUGGCCCCUCUGCACAAUAGGGUAAAGAGAGGACCAGCCCCCUACGGUGACUGUCGGGACCAGCGGGUCUUUCAUGGAAAGUGCUUUCUGGGGACCUGGCCUGUGGAAAGGUCUGCUGGAGGGGCCGUGGUUGUGCUAAUUCCUCAUGUCCCUCCUCCCCAUGAGGAAGCCUCUGCCUCAGUUGUCACUGUGCCUCUGACCUUGGGAUGAACUCUCUUCCCAGUUGAAUGGUGAUGGGUGAUUCCAUUAGGGGUGCCCUGUCCUGGGUGGGUGAGAGCAAGGGUUCCUGGGAGUGAGCAGUGGGGCCCCAGGCCACUCAGAUGGGGCUGGUGGGGCUCAUUCAUUCUUCACAUAUAGAGGAAGGCCACUAGGUGCAGGCACUUUUCUAGGAACAACCAUUAUUUAAUGCAUCGAGGAGACAUCAGUCCUGCCCUCCAGGGCUUCCGUUCUACCACGGUCACACUGUCACACCAGCUAUCAUAUCCAGGUGUGUCCUCAGGACAGUCCAUGUGACGCCUCCUGGCCUUCUCUAGAUAUGGAUGCAUCCUCCCUUACUCUGAUGAGGACAGUGGACCCCUGCACCAGCUGAAAGUGUGAGUGGGCUUUGGUUCAAGAGGGAGGGACUCCCUUCUCCAAAGAAUUGCAUGGAGAUGUGGGGUCUGUGGAUGGGCAGGGCUGGCAGAACCCUGGAUCCCACACAUCUGAUGGUUCGUGCUGAGGGCAGAGGUCUGAGGGCUCCUCCUGGAAAAGAGGAAAGGAGUCCAAGAGCGCUGCGGACGGGGCUGCGGUGUGAGGAGCAUCCGGGAGGUCAGAGGUCAGAGUCAGCCCCUAAGAGAGUCCACACCCGUCCCCUCUCCAUCCCAGCCCUGCCUCUACACCCCAUUCUGGGACCCAGAACACAAGGUGUGGAGAGAAUCCGGCUCACUGUCUGGUGGACCGUUAGCAGGGGUGCUCAGCAGUGGUACAAGUCCAUUUUUAAUAUUUUUUUAUUACAUAUACGAAAUUGUUUUCUAUGAUAUAAAGUUCACUUAAAAUAAAAUUUAAUAGUUUGAUUAUUUUAAA